GCUCUCCCCCUGGAAACAAGCAAGACAUGAUUUCUGAGGACUCAGCUACACGCUUCUGAAUGCUGAAGUUAUGACACCCGGAAACACACACCAAGGGAGUACCUUGGAAAUCAUUAAUCUGGAAAGUCUUACGGAGGGACCUGGCUGCUGUUAAAGGAGGAGUCACACACAUUUGAACAUUCCAGGUUAAGGAAAAAAUGACU
This is a long non-coding RNA of Peromyscus californicus insignis, 203 nucleotides long. RefSeq lists it as uncharacterized. The transcript is spliced from 3 exons. Lineage: Eukaryota; Metazoa; Chordata; Mammalia; Rodentia; Cricetidae. The record is from RefSeq and is a predicted model, not a curated record.